Molecule: ribosomal RNA, 222 nt
Filed under: uncultured bacterium
Lineage: Bacteria
Description: partial 16S ribosomal RNA
Rfam family: Bacterial small subunit ribosomal RNA
Source: RNAcentral
AGUAAUGUCUGGGAAACUGCCUGAUGGAGGGGGAUAACUGCUGGAAACGGUAGCUAAUACCGCAUAACGUCGCAAGACCAAAGAGGGGGACCUUCGGGCCUCUUGCCAUCGGAUGUGCCCAGAUGGGAUUAGCUAGUAGGUGGGGUAACGGCUCACCUAGGCGACGAUCCCUAGCUGGUCUGAGAGGAUGACCAGCCACACUGGAACUGAGACACGAUCCAG